GUUUAAGGCCAUGCCACCCUGAACAAACCCAAUCCUGUCUGAUCUCAGAAGCUAAGCAGGGUCGAGUCUGGUUAGUACUUGGAUGGGAGACUGCCUAGGAAGUUCAGGUCAUUUAGGCA
This 119-nucleotide ribosomal RNA is filed under the name Pteropus alecto (black flying fox). RNAcentral also lists the same sequence under 1 other name. The record is from RNAcentral. Lineage: Eukaryota; Metazoa; Chordata; Mammalia; Chiroptera; Pteropodidae.